AGUAGAAUCAGUGAAAAUAUCACUAAUUGAAACAGUAAAAUAAGAUUUCACUGAGAAUCAGUGAGUAUUUCACUGAACUUCAGUAGAAUGUUUACUUUUUGUUUCUUUAUCUUAUAUUUCACUGAUUAUGGUCAGUGAAAGUAAGAUGUUACUGUAAAAUCAGUUAUCUGUUGGUAAUACUGAUUGAUGGUGCGAGGAAGCGGAACAGGAUUGUGAUCUCAGUGAUGUGUGAAACAGAAAACGAGAACGAAGUAUACGUGACGAAGGACGAAGCGGUGCUAAGUGUACAUUACGAAGAAUGAGAGAAACUGCGGUACUGAGCUAAGCGUGCUUGCGAAAAAGGUGAGGUUAAAACAUAAACCACGGCGUAUUGAACGAGAGAACUGAACAGCAAACAGAAUAAGAUUAUUAAUCUCGGUUAUCGUUGGAAACUUAUCAAAAGGAAAGAACAUUGAUAAAGGACAACAUGAUGAUCCUCCUAUUUUUCCAAAUUCUUCGUUAAUACAGAUAUGGCCUGAAGGAACAAACAUAGAAGCACAAGCUCGUAAGCUGAAGAAUGUUUAAUUUUUAAUUGACUUCAUUCUGUAAACAUUUUGUACGUAACAAUUACAUUGUUGAAUAAAAAAUUAUAACACGUAUUAAGGUUAUUACUUUUUGUUACUGUUUGCUGGGACAUUUACUGAUUUAAUCAGCUUGCAUUACUGAUUUUGCUGUUCAAAGUCACUGUUUCCAGUAGUCCAAUAUUACUGAGUAAAACAGUCAAUAUUACUGAUUUAAUCAGUUCACAUUACUGAUUUUGCUGCUCAAAGUCACUGUUUUAGUAGUAUAAUAUUACUGAUUAAAAUAGUCAAUAUUACUGAUUUAAUCAGCUCACAUUACUGAUUUUGCUGUUUUAAGUCACUGUUUCUAGUAGUCCAAUAUUACUGAUUGAAACAGAUAUUAAUAACUAAUUCUUUCAGUGAAAUGUCACUGAUUCUAAGUGGUAUACUUAUAACUGCUUCAAUCAGUGACUAUUUACUGUUUCUCAGUAAAAAUACACUGAUUCUCUUUUAGAGAGU
Temnothorax curvispinosus is the source of this 1058-nucleotide long non-coding RNA. RefSeq lists it as uncharacterized. The transcript has 4 exons. The record is from RefSeq and is a predicted model, not a curated record. NCBI's taxonomy places the organism in Eukaryota, Metazoa, Arthropoda, Insecta, Hymenoptera, Formicidae.